Molecule: ribosomal RNA, 301 nt
Filed under: uncultured bacterium
Lineage: Bacteria
Description: partial 16S ribosomal RNA
Rfam family: Bacterial small subunit ribosomal RNA
Source: RNAcentral
CAGCAGCCACGGGAAUACAGAGGGUGCGAGCGUUAAUCGGAUUUACUGGGCGUAAAGCGUGCGUAGGCGGCUAAUUGAGUCGGAUGUGAAAUCCCCGAGCUUAACUUGGGAAUUGCAUUCGAUACUGGUUAGCUAGAGUGUGGGAGAGGAUGGUAGAAUUCCAGGUGUAGCGGUGAAAUGCGUAGAGAUCUGGAGGAAUACCGAUGGCGAAGGCAGCCAUCUGGCCUAACACUGACGCUGAGGUACGAAAGCAUGGGGAGCAAACAGGAUUAGAUACCCGCGUAGUCCCUGUCUCUUAUAA